GCCGUGCCACUGGCCCGGCCGAAAAGAAACGUUGCGGACGAAGCGAACUACAUCGGGACGCUUUGGCCGCCGAGCGAAAAUAUAUCAUUGAGCUCGACCUCAGAUCAGGUAGGAGUACCCGCUGAACUUAAGCAUAUCAAUAAGCGGAGGAAAAGAAACCAACAGGGAUUGCCCCAGUAGCGGCGAGUGAAGCGGCAAGAGCUCAGAUUUGAAAUCGUGUUUCGGCACGAGUUGUAGAGUGUAGGCGGGAGUCUCUGUGGAGCGCGGUGUCCAAGUCCCUUGGAACAGGGUGCCUGAGAGGGUGAGAGCCCCGUAGGGUGCUGCGCGAAGCUUUUGAGGCCCUGCUGACGAGUCGAGUUGUUUGGGAAUGCAGCUCCAAGCGGGUGGUAAAUUCCAUCUAAGGCUAAAUAUUGGCGAGAGACCGAUAGCGAACAAGUACUGUGAAGGAAAGAUGAAAAGCACUUUGAAAAGAGAGUGAAACAGCACGUGAAAUUGUUGAAAGGGAAGGGUAUUGGGCUCGACAUGGGGGGUGCGCACCGCUGUCUCUUGUAGGCGGCGCUCUGGGCGCCCUCUGGGCCAGCAUCGGUUCCUGCUGCGGGAGAAGGGGCUCCGGAAAGUGGCUCUUCGGAGUGUU
This 634-nucleotide ribosomal RNA is filed under the name Pichia manshurica. Its description in RNAcentral is "eukaryotic LSU rRNA". The stretch from base 95 to 634 matches the Rfam family "Eukaryotic large subunit ribosomal RNA", at positions 1 to 553 of the family's 3401-position model. The record is from RNAcentral. Lineage: Eukaryota; Fungi; Ascomycota; Pichiomycetes; Pichiales; Pichiaceae.